UGGGGAAUUUUGGACGAAUUGGGCGAAAGCCUGAUCCAGCAAUGCCGCGUGUGUGAAGAAGGCCUUCGGGUUGUAAAGCACUUUUGUCCGGAAAGAAAUCCUUGGCUCUAAUACAGUCGGGGGAUGACGGUACCGGAAGAAUAAGCACCGGCUAACUACGUGCCAGCAGCCGCGGUAAUACGUAGGGUGCAAGCGUUAAUCGGAAUUACUGGGCGUAAAGCGUGCGCAGGCGGUUUGCUAAGACCGAUGUGAAAUCCCCGGGCUCAACCUGGGAACUGCAUUGGUGACUGGCAGGCUAGAGUAUGGCAGAGGGGGGUUAGAAUUCCACGUGUAGCAGUGAAAUGCGUAGAGAUGUGGAGGAAUACCGAUGGCGAAGGCAGCCCCCUGGGCCAAGUACUGACGCUCAUGCACG
RNAcentral lists this ribosomal RNA (412 nucleotides) under uncultured bacterium. RNAcentral describes it as "partial 16S ribosomal RNA". It matches the Rfam family "Bacterial small subunit ribosomal RNA", at positions 355 to 755 of the family's 1533-position model. The record is from RNAcentral.